This 748-nucleotide ribosomal RNA is filed under the name Pseudomonas monteilii. Its description in RNAcentral is "bacterial SSU rRNA". It matches the Rfam family "Bacterial small subunit ribosomal RNA", at positions 47 to 786 of the family's 1533-position model. Lineage: Bacteria; Pseudomonadati; Pseudomonadota; Gammaproteobacteria; Pseudomonadales; Pseudomonadaceae. The record is from RNAcentral.
CCAUGAGGGCACGUAACAGUCGAGCGGAUGACGGGAGCUUGCUCCUUGAUUCAGCGGCGGACGGGUGAGUAAUGCCUAGGAAUCUGCCUGGUAGUGGGGGACAACGUUUCGAAAGGAACGCUAAUACCGCAUACGUCCUACGGGAGAAAGCAGGGGACCUUCGGGCCUUGCGCUAUCAGAUGAGCCUAGGUCGGAUUAGCUAGUUGGUGGGGUAAUGGCUCACCAAGGCGACGAUCCGUAACUGGUCUGAGAGGAUGAUCAGUCACACUGGAACUGAGACACGGUCCAGACUCCUACGGGAGGCAGCAGUGGGGAAUAUUGGACAAUGGGCGAAAGCCUGAUCCAGCCAUGCCGCGUGUGUGAAGAAGGUCUUCGGAUUGUAAAGCACUUUAAGUUGGGAGGAAGGGCAGUAAGUUAAUACCUUGCUGUUUUGACGUUACCGACAGAAUAAGCACCGGCUAACUCUGUGCCAGCAGCCGCGGUAAUACAGAGGGUGCAAGCGUUAAUCGGAAUUACUGGGCGUAAAGCGCGCGUAGGUGGUUCGUUAAGUUGGAUGUGAAAGCCCCGGGCUCAACCUGGGAACUGCAUCCAAAACUGGCGAGCUAGAGUACGGUAGAGGGUGGUGGAAUUUCCUGUGUAGCGGUGAAAUGCGUAGAUAUAGGAAGGAACACCAGUGGCGAAGGCGACCACCUGGACUGAUACUGACACUGAGGUGCGAAAGCGUGGGGAGCAAACAGGAUUAGAUACC